GAGAGAGAGAGAGAGAGAGAGAGAGAGAGAGAGAGCGAGGGAGAGAUGUGACAUCAGACUCCGGCAGCGCACGCAGUGAACUCAGCAUCCCCGUUCUCCCGGAGCCGCUUGCGCCCCACGCCCUACAGAGAUCAACACGAGCGGACGAUGAGUUUGUUGUGUUGCAGCCGGCGGCAGUGAGGACAGACGAUGGCCACGGUAGCGGCGUCCUACGACCAGCUGGCCCACCAGGUGCAGGCCCUCCGCAAGGAGAACUCCCACCUGCGGCGUGAGCUGGAGGACAACUCCAACCACCUGUUCAAACUGGAGAACGAGACCUCAGACAUGAAGGAGGUGCUGAAGCAGCUCCAGACUAAACUGGACCAGGAGGCGGGAACACUGGCCUCCUCGGGGCGGACCGACGUCCUGGACCAGCUCAAAGAGCUUCACAUGGACCUGACCAACUACUACGAGCUGAAGACCCGCCCUGCCCCGCCCCCCCUCAGUGGGGCGGGGCGGGACGACCUCCUGGCCCUAGCUCCGCCCCCCUCCACAUUAGCCCCGCCCCCCUCCGCCCUGUUGAGGGGCCCACUGCGCCCCCCCUCCUCCUCCUCCUCCCGGCAGAACACUGUCCCCGACGACGCCCUCCUGGACGGAGCCCCGCCCAUGGCCGCCCUGAUUGGUGGAGAAGGACGAAUGAAUGAGCAGCAUGUGGAGGAGCUGUACCGUGAAAAGAGGCUGCUGCUGAGCGAGAUGGAGCGGGAGGAGCGGGAGAGGUGCUGGUUCUACAGCGAGCUGCAGGGACUCACACAGAGGCUCGCACAACUACCGCACAUCGACACGUUCUCCAUCCAGAUGGACCUGAUCCGGCAGCAGCUGGAGUUCGAGGUGCAGCAGGUGCGCUCCGUCAUGGAGGAACGCUUCGGGACCAAUCAGCUCACGGUGCAGAGGACCCAGAUGCGUGUGGGUCGUCUUGAACAGCUGGAAAGAGAGCUUCAAGAAGCCAGAGAGAACCAGGAGCUGCAGCUGUGCGGUGCGGAGUCGCCCCCUGGCGGCGAGACAGAGAACAGCACGUCGGCCGCCGCCGCCGCCGAGACGGCCGGGGACAGCGGGAGCAAGGUGGAGAUGGUGUUCUGGCUCCUCUCCAUGAUGGCCAACCGGGACAAGGAGGAGCUGUCGCGGGCGCUGCUGGCCAUGUCCAGCUCCCAGGAGAGCUGCGUGGCCAUGCGCCGCUGCGGCUGUGUGCCGCUGCUGGUGCAGAUCCUCCACCAGGGGCCGGACGGGGGGGCGGACGGGGGCCCGGACGGGGGGCCGGACGGCUGCAGCCGCGAGGCGCGGUCCCGGGCCAGCGCCACGCUCCACAACAUCAUCUACUGCCAGGCGGACGAGGGCCGGGCGCGGCGCGAGAUGAGGGUGCUGCACAUGCUAGAGCAGAUCCGCUCGCACUGCGACUCGGGCUGGGAGUGGAUCCACAGCCACCGGGCCGCCCCCACGCCAGGGGGCACCCGGGCCAGCGACAUCCCGGAGCCAGUGGACCCUCAGAUCUGUCAGGUGACCUGUGCUGUGAUGAAGCUCUCCUUCGAAGAGGAGUACCGCCGUGCCAUGAACGAGCUGGGCGCCCUGCAGGUGGUGGCUGACCUGCUCCACCUGGACCAGGAGACGUACGGGAUGCUCAACGACCCCAUCAACCUGGCGCUGCGGCGCUACGCCGGCAUGGCGCUCACCAACCUCACCUUCGGGGACGUGGCCAACAAGGCCACGCUGUGCUCCAAGCGGAGCUGCCUGGCGGCGCUGGUGGCCCAGCUGGAGUCGGACAGCGAGGAGCUCCACCAGGUGGUCUCCAGCAUCCUGAGGAACCUGUCCUGGAGGGCCGACAUCAGCAGCAAGAGGGUUCUGAGGGACAUGGGCAGCGUCCCGGCCCUCAUCAGCUGCGCCCUGCAGGCCACCAAGGAGUCGACCCUGAAGAGCCUGCUCAGCGCGCUGUGGAACCUGUCCGCCCACAGCGUGGAGAACAAGGUGUCCAUCUGCUCCGUGGACGGGGCGCUGGGCUUCCUGGUGUCCACGCUGACCUACCGCUGCCAGACCAACUCCCUGGCCAUCAUCGAGAGCGGGGGGGGCAUCCUGCGCAACGUGUCCAGCCUCAUCGCCACGCGCGACGACUACCGACAAGUGCUGCGGGACCACAGCUGCCUGCAGACGCUGCUGCAGCACCUGCGCUCCCACAGCCUGACCAUCGUCAGCAACGCCUGCGGGACCCUCUGGAACCUGUCGGCGCGCAGCCCCCGCGACCAGGAGCUGCUGUGGGACCUGGGGGCCGUCAGCAUGCUGCGCAACCUCAUCCACUCCAAGCACAAGAUGAUCGCCAUGGGCAGCGCGGCCGCCCUGCGGAACCUGCUCUCCAACCGCCCCUUCAAGUACAAGGACGCGGCGGUGGUCUCGCCGGGCUCCUGCGUGCCCUCGCUCUACAUGAGGAAGCAGAAGGCGCUGGAGGCGGAGCUCGACGCCAAGCACCUCUCCGAGACCUUCGACACCCUGGACAAGCCCAGCCCCAAGCACCUGGGCCUCCACAAGCCCCUCCGCCACAUGGAGAGCCUGGCCCGGGACUACGCCUCCGACUCGGGCUGCUUCGACGACGACGAGGCCCCCAACCUGUCCAACUGUCUGGACACGGGCAGCUUCUCCCGGCUCUCCAUGUUCCUCAGUAACUCCAACUUCCUCCAAGCGGGAAGGAAAGACAACGAAGCCGAACGGGAGGCGGAGCCGUCUCACGGCGGCGACAAGCGGCACACGUCUCACGACCACGUGGUGUCCGCCGCCGCCGAGACGCUCGCCAAGAAGAUCACCAACACCGUGGCCAAGAUCGACCGCCUGGUGGACGACAUCACCAUGCACACCUCGUCGGAGGACAGCUUCAGCCUCAGCUCCGAGGACCCCUUCGCCGACUGGCCCUACGGGAUGGACGAGCUGAACGAGGCGCGGGCCAAGUCCUGCUCGCCCUGCCACCUGUCGGACACCAGCAGCCUGGCCCACAGGGAGCGGCUCGGCCGGGCCCACGCCCUGAUCCGCCUGAAGGCCGCCCACACCAGCCUGUCCACCGACAGCCUGAACAGCGGCAGCACCAGCGACGGCUACUGCGGCAGUAAAGACCAGAUCGCCUCCCCAGCCACCGCGGCCACCCUGCAACACAAGAGGCCCAGUCAGCUGGAUCUCAAGGUCAUUCAUCAGGAAUAUGCUAAUCAUCAGCCAUAUGCUAAUCAUCUGGAGUAUGCUAACCGUCUGGAGUAUGCUAAACGUCAGGAGUUUGCCAAUGCCGGGCCAACUGCCAUGAGCCACCCCAACCCGCUCAAUGUUCCAGAGAGAGAUUCUGUGGACAACAAAGAGCUCAAAGCUUGUGAUGCUAGCAGUGUAGAGCAGGAGCUGGCAGCUCACACCCCGACCAGCGUCUCAACUAAACUCUCCUCCGACGUCAGCAUGGCCUCCAUCAAGCUCUCCCCCUCCUAUCAACACGUUCCUCUGAUUCACAGCGGGGCUAAAUUUGGUGCAGCGAAGACGACAGUGCAUGUGCAGGCCGCCCAGGCCGUGAGGAGGCAGGCCUGGGUUCCUAGCGUGCUCACAGGGGGGAGUCUCACCAAGUUCCCUCCCCUUGGCCCUGCCCGGAGCCCCAUCAUCGGCCCCCUGGAGACGGUGCAGAAGUACUCGGUGGAGAACACGCCCAUCUGCUUCUCGCGUUGCAGCUCGCUGUCCUCGCUGUCCUCCGGGGAGGGGCCACUGGACGGGCAGAGCCAGAGCGACAACGAGCUGGAGAGUGACUCGUCGCUGGAGAUCAUCGAGGUCGAGGACGGAGAAGAGAUGGUGAAGACGACCGCAGAAGACGAAACCUUGGAAGAUCUCAGCGACAGCCAGCUGCUAGUGACCGACUCCAAAACCUUCCCUGGGAAGGACGAGCUCCUGACCGAUCCCACGGAGAUCCCGUCCAAACAGGAGAAGGAGUACUCCCGCGGCGCGUCGCCCACCCUGCUGGAGGACCGCUCUCCGUCCAGCUCCUCGGAGAACUACAUCCACGAGACGCCGCUGGUCAUGAGCCGCUGCAGCUCCCUCAGCUCUCUCGGGAGCUUCGACUCUCCGUCCAUCGCCAGCUCCAUUCAGAGCGACCCGUGCAGCGAGAUGAUCGAUGGAACCAUCAGCCCCAGUGACCUCCCCGACAGUCCGGGUCAGACCAUGCCGCCGAGCCGGAGUAAGACCCCCUGCUGUGUGGAGCCGAACCCCGCGGACACGCAGGGCGGCGCCGUGCCGUGGGAAAGCAGCCUGCGCAAGUUCCUCGAGAUCGCAGACUUCAAAGAGAGGUUCAACCUCCCUCCUGACCUGGACACCAUGAUCUACUUCACUGUGGAGAAGCCCACGGAGAACUUCUCGUGUGCGUCGAGCCUGAGCGCCCUGCCCCUGCAUGAGCACUACGUCCAAAAGGACGUGGAGCUGAAGCUCACUCCUCUGCUGCAGCAAAGCGACAGAAACCCUACGCUCGCCGACGACGACGCAGCGGACCGGGAGGAACGCUCUAGCGAGGCGACCUCCGACGACGACAUAGAGAUCCUGAAAGAAUGCAUCAACUCGGCGAUGCCGUCAAAGUUCCGCAAGGUCCGGCCGUCGCUGAUGGCCAGCAUUCCACCUCAUCUUCUAAACUCUCAGAGCAAGACACAGAUGCAGCUGCCGGUCUACAUGAUGGUCCCACACUCCAGCGGCCAGAGGUCCUCUGGGAGGAGGGUCGUCAUGACGCAGAAGGAGAUCACACUCGACGACUCGUCCUUCACCGACUCUGCAGAAGGGACUCCGGUCAACUUCUCCAGCACCACGUCUCUGAGUGACGAGACUCUUCAGUACCCGGUGAAGGAGAAGGGAGCCAAGGACUGGAGGGCCAGAGACACCGGGAGCCAGGACAUGGUGGACGACGAGGCCAAGAGGAUCGACGACUUGAGGAAGUUCUCUUACUUCCAUAAGAACAAUCGGGUGAACUCCCAACCCAACGUACAAGUCCACCAGACGAGCAAAACUACGAAGCACGUCAUCCAAACUCAGAAACUGCUGAUGCAGAGUAAAGAAGUGACUGACAGAGUGACCAAUCAGAGGAACCGUGAUCAGUCGCCCAAUCAGCAGCGGCCACGGCAGGGGCAAGUCCUGGCACUUCCUGUCAUACAAAACCCUGAGAUGAUCCAAACAUCCCACACUAAAGAAGACGUCUACUGCUACAAUGACCAGAAGGAACGAGAAGAGCGGUUCACCAAACGACCGGGGAGAAGGCAGACAAGGGAAGCGAGCAGAAACACUCUCUCCCGGAGCAUGACCAACGUCGGCAGAACAGAGCCGCAGAGCGAGCCCAAAGGCUUCCACAGGAUCAAGCAGAACCUGAUGAAGAGCGACUCGCCGUCGUGCUACUCCCUCAGCACCUCUCUGAGCUCCCUCAGCGACGCAGAGUUUGAGGAGCACCAGAGCAAACCACAGCAGAUCUGGACCAAGACUAGACACAACAAAACCAACCCGACGGGGCUCUCCCGGCCCACGGCCUUCCACAGCCCGUACGAGGCGCAGAGCUCGCCCAGCUCCGUGAGCCUGGACUCCGAGGACGACCUCCUGCAGAGGUGCAUCACGUCCGCCAUGCCCAAGCAGAGGAGGAAGAUGGCCGCCAGGAAGAAGAAGGCAGAGAAGAAUCAGAAUCAAAAGAACAACACGCAGAAGUUCAUCUGGAACAUGGAUCAGGACUCUGAUAGUGACGACCUGGCGUCCGACAAAGACUCAGACCUCAACAGUGUGGAGUGGAGAGCGAUACAAGAAGGAGCAAACUCUGUGGUCACAGGAUUGAUGGCAUCCAAGUCACAGGAGCCUUCCUCCGAAGAGACAGAGUCCGUCCUUUCGUUCAUGUCCACGUCCAGUUUUACACCCAAGGAAAAGACGUUUGCCAAAGACAAAAAGCCCAACAAACCUCUGGACUUUGCUCAGCGCAAACCGGUUGCAAACCUGCCUGUGGUGUUCAGAGGAAGAACAGUGAUCUACACUCCUAAAAAAGAGACAACCCUCUCCCAAAGGCCCCCUCCAAACAAAGUGUCAACAAGGCCAGACGCUCCCAAGAACCCGCAGCUCGCCCAACACCGCUCCAAGAGCCUCCACCGCCUGGGACAGCCCCAGGAGAUGGAGUGGUCCCUCCCCAAGAGGAGCUCCACUCCUCCACCCAGGAUUCCAAAGAGCUCUUCUUCUGGUUCCUCACAAAGCUCUACUCUGUCUAAACACUCCCAGAGGAAGAUCACCUCUCCCAUUCAAAUCAAUAAAUGUGUUCCUAAGAAGAACGCCACACCAUCAUGUAGUCCUCCUGCUACGAGUCCUCCGGAGAGGAAGGGUCGCUCCCCUGUCCCGAGUCAAGAGCAAAAGUCCACCGUACAUAAAACACAGAAGUCUCCGGUUCGAAUCCCAUUCAUGCAGAGCUCAAGGCAAACUAGAGCCAUAUCCCCGUUGGUAACCAACCAGCCGACCAAUGUGAGCAGACCUAACAGCCAUGUGACAGGGAAACGACCUCCUCCAGCCAAUCGGCUGGACCUGGUCCGGAUGACCUCGGCCCACUCGGGUGGAACUGAGACCGAUCGAAAUGGGUUCCUCAGACAACUGACGUUCAUCAAGGAGUCCAAAACCCUCCUGAGGCGCGAGGGCACCGCGCACUCCGCUCCCCCGGCCCAGAGCUCCUCUCGCAGAGGGCGUCCCGCCGCCGCCGCCGUCUUCCUCUGCUCCUCUCGCUGCCAGGAGCUCAAGGUGGCAGUUCAGGGGCCGAGGAGGACGCCGGCUAAGGGUCCGGCCCCCAGGACAGUCCAUUCGGACCCCAGCCGUCUGAAGCAGAGCCCGGCCGCCACGAGGGCCGGCUCCGGGGAGCGGGAAGCCUCAGCCAGGCGUCCGCCCCGGAGGACCAGCUCGGAGAGUCCCUGCAGGGCGGCGCAGCGGCCCGGGCCGGCCAGGGGGUCCGCUGCCAGGCAGCAGCAGCAGGACACCUUCAAACGGCACGCCUCCUCUCCCAGUAUCAACGUACUGAGCCGGGUCACCAGCCGCUCGUCGGUCCGGUCUUCCUCCUCAGACUCCAGUGGGCGAGCCAAGAGUGAAGACGACACCAAGAGGAGAGGGUCGCGGCCGAACCACAGGGUCACCUGGAGGAGGAUUAAGGACGAGGAUGUGCCGCAGAUCUUGAAGACCACUCUGCCGGCGACGGCGCUGCCUCUCGCACCUUCUCCCGAGGAGAAGCCCAAGUCUGCGGCCAUGCCAGGGAAACUGCCCACCAUCAUCCUCGCCUCACGAAAAACAAGCGACGCAACCGUCCAGACGGAAGACUUCUCCGGUAAGACCCACUCGAGCCCCUCCCUCAAGGCUGAGGCGACGCCCUCUGAGGACGGCUCUGGUCUGUCCACGCUGUGGAAGGCCGGGCCAGGAGGGGUCCUCCAGGAAGGGGACUCGGAGGGACCCCCGCGGGGCCACAGCUCCGUCUCCACGGCAACCCCCGACAGCUUCACGUCCGGAGGGGUGCUCUUCCGUCAGGGGUCCCCCAGUAAGUCUGCCAGAGUCACCCCGUUCAACUACACGCCUAGCCCCAUGACCUGCGGCCCCCAGGAGCCCCCCGCCACACCCAACGGCCAGAAGACCGGGGAGAAGGCUGAGGCGUAGAGCGCUCCUCCACCUCAAAGGCGACCCCACCCCUCAGCUCAGGGGGACUCCAUACCCUCUGCGAGACCUCCAACCCUCCACCACUCAUCCACCCUCCUAUCUGCUAGAAGUCCACCGACGUAGCAGUUUAGACCAACAUCACUCACAAUAGACAUGCAUCUUUUGUACUCAUUUUUUACUUGUACAUAGACUUUUGCUUGGUGACUACGUCACACGCACACUUUAAACGUAACUAUCUGGAUGUCGUCACAUAAAGUAACUCCGAGGACAGGCUGACGUAGAACACAGAUAUGCAAAACAAACCACACGGGAAUCCAAACUGUGCCAGACACUAUUUAAUAACUUUAAGUCCUGCUCUCUGAACACCUCCUGCUGCUCUUAGCCACCACCGCUACCCUUUAGCCGCUCCGGCUAGCUGCCGCGCUGGAGACUCUGAUGUGAACCCUGACCUCUGCUGUAAAUAGACUAAUCUAGAAAAUCUUCCAGCGUCACACUUGAUCACGGCUCCCCGUCCUCCUGGGAUCAACGCUCCAGAAAGUCCUCUGGAAACGGAUUGUUCAGGAUUUAAGAACAUUGUCAAGAAUAAUAGAAACCUAUCUGCUAUCACCUAUCCCCCCAUGCCCCCCUGCUAUCACCUAUCCCCCCGCUAUCACCUAUCCCCAUGGCCUCCCUGACUGCCUAUCCCCAGCUCAGUAUUCUGUAUCAGCUGUUCUGCCGCCGUCGUUCUGUGUAAUGUAUUCUUGUCUUGCUGUACGUAGUGAUAGAUGAUAGAUCAGGAGGCCCACAUACCGGCCUCCCGUGUUGUGGAACAUCUUAACGUCAUGCUUCAGAUGCUGUGGCGUCCUCCCUGACGCCGGCACAGCGUGACGGACAGGUGCCCUCCAGAGGCUUCUGGUCUCCAUGCCAACGCCCUGCUGGGACCACUGACCUGGGAAGGGUUCAGGGUCAGAGACCUCCGGUCCGCCGUUCAGCUCACAGCAGGACCACCGGCCCACAGACGCUCGUUAUGGUCGCCCUGCUCCUAGUUACCACCCGCUAGUACCUUAGGGCCACCUCCUACACCUCACCCCAGGACCACACGGUGCACCACUCUAUACCUACAAGUGCUACUAGUUACCACCCGCUAGUACCUUAGGGCCACCUCCUACACCUCACCCCAGGACCACACGGUGCACCACUCUAUACCUACAAGUGCUACUAGUUACCACCCGCUAGUACCUUAGGGCCACCUCCUACACCUCACCCCAGGACCACACGGUGCACCGUACUAUACCAUUAUGAUACCAGAUAGUUCACCACACUAUACCAUUAUGAUACCAGAUAGUUCACCAUACUAUACCAUCAUGAUACCAGGUGGUACACCGUACCAGUGUGAUACCAGAACACCAGGUGGUACCCCAUACCAGUAUGAUACCAGUACAUCAUACCAGUAAGAUACCAGUACAUCAUACCAGUAUGAUACCAGUACAUCAUACCAGUAUGAUACCAGUACAUCAUACCAGUAUGAUACCAGUCCAUCAUUCCAGUAUACCAGGUGGUACCAGGUGAUGGCCUGGGCUGUGAGGUGUGAAUCUGUACGUGGGUCUGAGUUGGUGUCAAUAAAGUGAUGUUUUAAUAA
Molecule: RNA transcript, 9286 nt
Organism: Gadus macrocephalus (Pacific cod)
Lineage: Eukaryota; Metazoa; Chordata; Actinopteri; Gadiformes; Gadidae
Gene: apc2
Gene name: APC regulator of WNT signaling pathway 2
Exons: 15
Source: RefSeq, a predicted model, not a curated record